CAGCAAGGUAUGUUCUUUAAAUAGAGUUCAUAAAUUGCGUGUUGAAUGGGUUGCAGGGCUGGUUUCCAUGAAAUCGGCAGUGAAAUACGCGCAAGCAACACAGAAAUUCAUGUGGAGGCAGCAAAGCCUCUAGUAAAGGUCUGCCCUUUCACACAUCUGUAACUCAUAUCGACAAAGAUGCGUCUCAAAAACCAAAGAAAGUUGCGUCUUAACUGAAUAAGUAACGGUGUUAACUGCAACUUCUUACGGGUAAGAUAACCUUACCAUUCACAUCUCAUGAGCUUAUAACUCAUAAAAAAACCUUGUAAAUGUUAUAAUCCUAGUAAUUUGGACUUCACAUGAUGAGAAUGUAAUACAUAUCACAAAACAAAUUUUUUAUUGAUGUACUUUUGAUCAUCUCUACUAAGUACUGACUGUUUGCUUCAUCAAUAUCACUACAUACAAUUAUGGCAGUUUGUAAAUUUCUAGACAAAAAAUUUAUGAAAAUAUUAGUUUAUAUUC
Hevea brasiliensis (rubber tree) is the source of this 501-nucleotide long non-coding RNA. RefSeq lists it as uncharacterized. The record is from RefSeq and is a predicted model, not a curated record. NCBI's taxonomy places the organism in Eukaryota, Viridiplantae, Streptophyta, Magnoliopsida, Malpighiales, Euphorbiaceae. The transcript has 2 exons.